RNAcentral lists this ribosomal RNA (497 nucleotides) under uncultured bacterium. RNAcentral's name for it is "partial 16S ribosomal RNA". It matches the Rfam family "Bacterial small subunit ribosomal RNA", at positions 28 to 507 of the family's 1533-position model. The record is from RNAcentral.
GAUGAACGCUGGCGGCGUGCCUAAUACAUGCAAGUCGAGCGAACGGACGAGAAGCUUGCUUCUCUGAUGUUAGCGGCGGACGGGUGAGUAACACGUGGAUAACCUACCUAUAAGACUGGGAUAACUUCGGGAAACCGGAGCUAAUACCGGAUAAUAUUUUGAACCGCAUGGUUCAAAAGUGAAAGACGGUCUUGCUGUCACUUAUAGAUGGAUCCGCGCUGCAUUAGCUAGUUGGUAAGGUAACGGCUUACCAAGGCAACGAUGCAUAGCCGACCUGAGGGGGUGAUCGGCCACACUGGAACUGAGACACGGUCCAGACUCCUACGGGAGGCAGCAGUAGGGAAUCUUCCGCAACGGGCGAAAGCCUGACGGAGCAACGCCGCGUGAGUGAUGAAGGUCUUCGGAUCGUAAAACUCUGUUAUUAGGGAAGAACAUAUGUGUAAGUAACUGUGCACAUCUUGACGGUACCUAAUCAGAAAGCCACGGCUAACUACGUG